AGUGAACGCUGGCGGUAGGCCUAACACAUGCAAGUCGAACGGCAGCACAGUAAGAGCUUGCUCUUACGGGUGGCGAGUGGCGGACGGGUGAGGAAUACAUCGGAAUCUACUUUUUCGUGGGGGAUAACGUAGGGAAACUUACGCUAAUACCGCAUACGACCUACGGGUGAAGCAGGGGAUCUUCGGACCUUGCGCGAUUGAAUGAGCCGAGGUCGGAUUAGCUAGUUGGCGGGGUAAAGGCCCACCAAGGCGACGAUCCGUAGCUGGUCUGAGAGGAUGAUCAGCCACACUGGAACUGAGACACGGUCCAGACUCCUACGGGAGGCAGCAGUGGGGAAUAUUGGACAAUGGGCGCAAGCCUGAUCCAGCCAUACCGCGUGGGUGAAGAAGGCCUUCGGGUUGUAAAGCCCUUUUGUUGGGAAAGAAAAGCAGCAGGUUAAUACCCCGCUGUUCUGACGGUACCCAAAGAAUAAGCACCGGCUAACUUCGUG
RNAcentral lists this ribosomal RNA (491 nucleotides) under uncultured bacterium. Its description in RNAcentral is "partial 16S ribosomal RNA". It matches the Rfam family "Bacterial small subunit ribosomal RNA", at positions 29 to 507 of the family's 1533-position model. The record is from RNAcentral.